Molecule: ribosomal RNA, 429 nt
Filed under: Gemmatimonadota bacterium
Lineage: Bacteria; Pseudomonadati; Gemmatimonadota
Description: Gemmatimonadetes bacterium partial 16S ribosomal RNA
Rfam family: Bacterial small subunit ribosomal RNA
Source: RNAcentral
UAGGGAAUCUUCGGCAAUGGACGAAAGUCUGACCGAGCAACGCCGCGUGAGUGAAGAAGGUUUUCGGAUCGUAAAACUCUGUUGUUAGAGAAGAACAAGGACGUUAGUAACUGAACGUCCCCUGACGGUAUCUAACCAGAAAGCCACGGCUAACUACGUGCCAGCAGCCGCGGUAAUACGUAGGUUGCAAGCGUUGUCCGGAUUUAUUGGGCGUAAAGCGAGCGCAGGAGGUUUCUUAAGUCUGAUGUGAAAGCCCCCGGCUCAACCGGGGAGGGUCAUUGGAAACUGGGAGAGUUGAGUGCAGAAGAGGAGAGUGGAAUUCCAUGUGGAGGGGUGAAAUGCGUAGAUGUAUAGAGGAAUACCAGUGGCGAACGCGGCACUCUGGUCUGUAACGGACGCUGAGGCUCGAAAGAGUGGGGAGCAAAGGGG